AAGUUGAAUCUUUUUUAUAAAUUGUUGUCAACCUUUUUUUUAUCAUUUUUUUCCCUUUUAUGACAACUAUUAUACCAGUCUGAGAUAUAAAUAAACUUCAAACAGCAAAUGUUGUCACCUAGACGAGGGAGCCGUCAUUGUAUGCUUCAAUAUAUGAGUUAUUGCCACUCAAUGAAGAUUGUUUUUCUGAUGUAGUCCGUCCCCUGUUAGUUUUGCUGGAAAUUAUACAAUGUAACCCCUGAUGUGUACUACGACAACGUUUUUUUAAUAUUAAAAAAAAGAUUAAAUGCAAAGAGAAAAAUGAUGGAAGAAAUGCUAAGAUUUACGCAUAAAAAUUCAAAUGUAAAUAAAAAUGAAAUAUAUAAAAAUUGGAAAACUGUUUGAGACUGAGGACAAAUUAUUAUAAAUCACUAAAUGAAGCUGAUUAAUUUAUUGCUCCUUUGUGUCCAGUGGCAAAUAUGUCAUGCAUAUUCACGACUAGAUUCAAAGUGGAUCAAUUUGAAGCAAAUGUUUACAAAUUUAGAGUGGCACUUUUUACAAUAAGGCAGAGCGUUCGCUAGAGGUAAAACGUAUGCCGUAAUAGAAUAGAUUUGAACAAUAAUGAUCGAACUCGUAAGUUAUAAAGCCCCC
RNAcentral lists this long non-coding RNA (630 nucleotides) under Mytilus galloprovincialis (Mediterranean mussel). The record is from RNAcentral. Lineage: Eukaryota; Metazoa; Mollusca; Bivalvia; Mytilida; Mytilidae.